GAUGAACGCUGGCGGCGUGCCUAAUACAUGCAAGUCGAGCGAACAGACGAGGAGCUUGCUCCUCUGACGUUAGCGGCGGACGGGUGAGUAACACGUGGAUAACCUACCUAUAAGACUGGGAUAACUUCGGGAAACCGGAGCUAAUACCGGAUAAUAUAUUGAACCGCAUGGUUCAAUAGUGAAAGACGGUUUUGCUGUCACUUAUAGAUGGAUCCGCGCCGCAUUAGCUAGUUGGUAAGGUAACGGCUUACCAAGGCAACGAUGCGUAGCCGACCUGAGAGGGUGAUCGGCCCCACUGGAACUGAGACACGGUCCAGACUCCUACGGGAGGCAGCAGUAGGGAAUCUUCCGCAAUGGGCGAAAGCCUGACGGAGCGACGCCGCGUGAGUGAUGAAGGUCUUCGGAUCGUAAAACUCUGUUAUUAGGGAAGAACAAAUGUGUAAGUAACUAUGCACGUCUUGACGGUACCUAGUCAGAAAGCCACGGCUAACUACGUG
Molecule: ribosomal RNA, 497 nt
Filed under: uncultured bacterium
Lineage: Bacteria
Description: partial 16S ribosomal RNA
Rfam family: Bacterial small subunit ribosomal RNA
Source: RNAcentral